Molecule: long non-coding RNA, 283 nt
Filed under: Elaeis guineensis (African oil palm)
Lineage: Eukaryota; Viridiplantae; Streptophyta; Magnoliopsida; Arecales; Arecaceae
Description: long non-coding RNA (EGUI_LNC043985)
Source: RNAcentral
AGUAACCGAGCCUUCGACUUUGUUCAUGUUAGGAUGAGAUUUUCCUCCUGUUCCUAACACGCUUAAUUUUGAUUGAAUGAGGGAGUUACUUCCUGUCGUUAUAAGCCUGUGCUAAAAGAAAAAUAUGCAAAUACGAAACUUUUAUUUAAGGCAAAGUUAUUGGUAAUACAUCUAUAGAUUUUUCGAAUCCUAUAGCCGCGGAAGGUCUGCUCCCCGUCGGGGUCCUCCUGAGAUGGAGUUGAUAAUCUCAAUCGAAGGUCAAUCUUCAGGCUACUCCUCCCUC